GAUGAACGCUGGCGGCGUGCCUAAUACAUGCAAGUCGAGCGAACAGACGAGGAGCUCGCUCCUCUGACGUUAGCGGCGGACGGGUGAGUAACACGUGGAUAACCUACCUAUAAGACUGGGAUAACUACGGGAAACCGGAGCUAAUACCGGAUAAUAUAUUGAACCGCAUGGUUCAAUAGAGAAAGACGGUUUUGCUGUCACUUAUAGAUGGAUCCGCGCCGCAUUAGCUAGUUGGUAAGGUAACGGCUUACCAAGGCAACGAUGCGUAGCCGACCUGAGAGGGUGAUCGGCCACACUGGAACUGAGACACGGUCCAGACUCCUACGGGAGGCAGCAGUAGGGAAUCUUCCGCAAUGGGCGAAAGCUUGACGGAGCAACGCCGCGUGAGUGAUGAAGGUCUUCGGAUCGUAAAACUCUGUUAUUAGGGAAGAACAAAUGUGUAAGUAACUAUGCACGUCUUGACGGUACCUAAUCAGAAAGCCACGGCUAACUACGUG
RNAcentral lists this ribosomal RNA (497 nucleotides) under uncultured bacterium. Its description in RNAcentral is "partial 16S ribosomal RNA". It matches the Rfam family "Bacterial small subunit ribosomal RNA", at positions 28 to 507 of the family's 1533-position model. The record is from RNAcentral.